GCAUUGCGUACAUCAAUGAAAUGGUCAAAGAAAACUUAAAAUACAACAACCAUUUUUUAGAAGUAGAAGUUGCCUACCAUUUUAAUUCCAAGCCCUAAGAUGACUUAUUUUAAUCUCUAUUGGAAAGGAAUUGCUCUAGGAACAGUGAGUGAUUCUGAAGGGUGGCCCAAAGUUGCCCCCAAUGCGAUUUGACCUACAUGUUGUCAGAUGCAGGGAGGGUAUGACCUCACAGAAGAAUGGUUCAUUACUGCUCUGUCAGGUUUCAGUAAUGAGCACACACCAGUCACCUUGGCAGAAAGGCAUCCUCCAGAUGGCCUGUCAGCCCCGAAGAUGUGGGUUACAACAGUGUCCCAUAGCUUCAUUGCUAAAGACAAGAUGGGUCUAGAUACUCUUCAUCAAGUUCCAGAAGCCAGACUCUUAGAGAGCUAAAUCCAACAAGUUGGAUGUUGGCAGAACCAUGGAGAGUCUCGAGGGACAGCCUGCUUCUAUACUUAUCUCCAGGCUCCUGAGCUGUGUUCCUUGACCCCCUGCCUCACCUCCACCUUCCAAGCCAGCACUGUAGCAUCUUCC
RNAcentral lists this long non-coding RNA (570 nucleotides) under Mus spicilegus (steppe mouse). RNAcentral's name for it is "lncRNA (ENSMSIG00000009920.1)". The record is from RNAcentral. Lineage: Eukaryota; Metazoa; Chordata; Mammalia; Rodentia; Muridae.